RNAcentral lists this ribosomal RNA (642 nucleotides) under uncultured bacterium. RNAcentral describes it as "bacterial SSU rRNA". It matches the Rfam family "Bacterial small subunit ribosomal RNA", at positions 73 to 756 of the family's 1533-position model. The record is from RNAcentral.
GAUGCUUUCGGGCAUAGUGGCGCACGGGUGCGUAACGCGUGGGAAUCUGCCUUGGGGUACGGAAUAACUCAUGGAAACGUGAGCUAAUACCGUAUGACGUCUUCGGACCAAAGAUUUAUCGCCCUGAGAUGAGCCCGCGUAGGAUUAGCUAGUUGGUGGGGUAAAGGCCUACCAAGGCGACGAUCCUUAGCUGGUCUGAGAGGAUGAUCAGCCACACUGGGACUGAGACACGGCCCAGACUCCUACGGGAGGCAGCAGUGGGGAAUAUUGGACAAUGGGCGAAAGCCUGAUCCAGCAAUGCCGCGUGAGUGAUGAAGGCCUUAGGGUUGUAAAGCUCUUUUACCCGGGAAGAUAAUGACUGUACCGGGAGAAUAAGCCCCGGCUAACUCCGUGCCAGCAGCCGCGGUAAUACGGAGGGGGCUAGCGUUGUUCGGAAUUACUGGGCGUAAAGCGCACGUAGGCGGCUUCGUAAGUCAGAGGUGAAAGCCCAGGGCUCAACCCUGGAAUUGCCUUUGAGACUGCGAGGCUAGAAGGUGAGAGAGGUGAGUGGAAUUCCGAGUGUAGAGGUGAAAUUCGUAGAUAUUCGGAAGAACACCAGUGGCGAAGGCGGCUCACUGGCUCAUACUUGACGCUGAGGUGCGA